AAGACUAUAAUUUCAGGGAUCUUUGUUAUAGUUGGUUACUAGAGAAGUUUCUCUGACUGUGCAGAGCUCUGGAAACCACAGGGAGGAGGUGCAGCCUUCUCUCCUGAGCAGGAAGCCAGCUAGAUCUUGGUGGUGUUUGGCUACAACUGCCAUUUGCCAUUGCUGAUGGUUCUUUCUUUGGGAGAGUAAGAGGGAGAGGACCUGGUCUGAGUGGU
This 215-nucleotide small nucleolar RNA is filed under the name Prolemur simus (greater bamboo lemur). Its description in RNAcentral is "Small nucleolar RNA U3 (ENSPSMG00000021587.1)". It matches the Rfam family "Small nucleolar RNA U3". Rfam says of the family: Small nucleolar RNAs (snoRNAs) are involved in the processing and modification of rRNA in the nucleolus. Lineage: Eukaryota; Metazoa; Chordata; Mammalia; Primates; Lemuridae. The record is from Rfam by way of RNAcentral.